CGUAAUUAUGACGUUUUUCUAUUCCCAGUCACUUGUAAUCAUUUGUCUGCAUUGCAAUCUUUUGUCAAAGUCAUUGAAGCGUUUUACAAUAGGUAAACGUAAUUCAUUAAAUAUGAUAAUUAUUGACACCGGUCUGCAAUGUUUGGGAAAGAAUGAAUUGUCAUUAAUCUGUGCUUUGUUUCCAAGUUCCUCUAUGUGCCGUAUGAUGGUUAAGAAAGGCACAUGUUUGAACUUGGAGAGACAAUCAGAAAUUACAUCUUUAGAAGAAAGAAAUUAAGUUUACCAUUGUCAUGAUUGUAAAAACGAAACAUGAGAAACAUCUCCAGCUCAAAGUAAGUUACAAAACUUCAAAGUUAGUCCCAAAUUUUGUAUGACUCUCAAAAUGUAACACUCUUCUGGUGUGGUAUGAAAAAAAAAGAAAAAGGUGCUGAGCUAAUUUCUGUUGUUCAAUGAAAAGGAAAUAUUUUUUUAUGGACAUAAUUUUGCUUAUAAUUACUUAAGCUUACACUACAUUUGUAAACACAUCAUGUAUCACAUGUAUUGAAGUAAUAUGAGGCUCUACCUGCAUGCUGUGAAAGGGAACUAAUCAAAUCUGUAUGAUUUUUUUUUAAUUUUGCCUCUGCCAUAGCGGAGGGGGCAAUAAGUUUUACCCUUGUCCCUCUGUAUAGAUGUACAUGUACGUCCCAAAGUUGGUUUCAAUUCUUUAAACUUUUGGGGAGUCGCAGCACAGCAAAAGUGAGUAUAUCAGUGGUUGUCGUUUGUUUAUGUGUUAUUUGUUUUUCGUUCAUUUUUUUCACAUAAAUAAGGCCGUUAGUUUUCUCGUUUGAAUUGUUUUACAUUGUCUUAUCGGGGCCUUUUAUAGCUGACUAUGCGGUAUGGGCUCAAUGCUCAUUGUUGAAGGCCGUACGGUGACCUAUAGUUGUUAAUGUUUGUGUCAUUUUGGUAUUUUCUGGAUAGUUGUCUCAUUGGCAAUCAUACCACAUCUUCUUUUUUAUAUAUAUAUAUAUUUUUAAUGCUUUUUGAUAAACAAACAUGUACAUGUAUUUACACUUUUGCUAUUCAACUGAAUUUUGUCUCAAAAUGAUCUCAAGAUCUGUAAAUGAAUAACCUGGAGGUCAU
Molecule: long non-coding RNA, 1119 nt
Filed under: Mytilus galloprovincialis (Mediterranean mussel)
Lineage: Eukaryota; Metazoa; Mollusca; Bivalvia; Mytilida; Mytilidae
Source: RNAcentral